GAUGAACGCUGGCGGCGUGCCUAAUACAUGCCAGUCGAGCGAACGGACGAGAAGCUUGCUUCUCUGAUGUUAGCGGCGGACGGGUGAGUAACACGUGGAUAACCUACCUAUAAGACUGGGAUAACUUCGGGAAACCGGAGCUAAUACCGGAUAAUAUUUUGAACCGCAUGGUUCAAAAGUGAAAGGCGGUCUUGCUGUCACUUAUAGAUGGAUCCGCGCUGCAUUAGCUAGUUGGUAAGGUAACGGCUUACCAAGGCAACGAUGCAUAGCCGACCUGAGAGGGUGAUCGGCCACACUGGAACUGAGACACGGUCCAGACUCCUACGGGAGGCAGCAGUAGGGAAUCUUCCGCAAUGGGCGAAAGCCUGACGGAGCAACGCCGCGUGAGUGAUGAAGGUCUUCGGAUCGUAAAACUCUGUUAUUAGGGAAGAACAUAUGUGUAAGUAACUGUGCACAUCUUGACGGUACCUAAUCAGAAAGCCACGGCUAACUACGUG
Molecule: ribosomal RNA, 497 nt
Filed under: uncultured bacterium
Lineage: Bacteria
Description: partial 16S ribosomal RNA
Rfam family: Bacterial small subunit ribosomal RNA
Source: RNAcentral